Long non-coding RNA from Corvus hawaiiensis (hawaiian crow), 1764 nucleotides. RefSeq lists it as uncharacterized. The record is from RefSeq and is a predicted model, not a curated record. The transcript has 5 exons. NCBI's taxonomy places the organism in Eukaryota, Metazoa, Chordata, Aves, Passeriformes, Corvidae.
ACAAAAAGGAAGUAACAGAAAAAACAUUUGAGAGUGGUCAUGUCCAGAAAAAAUCCAGAGUAGCAUGCAACAAACAGCAGGACAUGAAUAAGGUUACUCUUACAGUGGAAUGCAAUUGCCAUUCUGGACUAGAUUAAUAAUUUAUCCAGUCUAGUCUUUUUUAUUAUAGUAGAUACUAUCAGUGUUUUAGGAAAAAUUGCCAGAGGUUACUGAAUCGGUAAUUACUGGAGAGACCAUUUUUCUUAAUAAAUAGGAGUUCAAAUCUGUUUCUUUUUUUUUUGCACAUUAACCCUAUGGAUGUUCUCAUUAGCUAUGCUGUAGAGCCUUUCUGAGCCCCCCAAGUGCAGGGGGUUUUGAUCUUUUUCUUCAUUUGUUUGAUUGUUUGUUCUGUCUUGCAGCAUCUUGUCCCAAAUGUCUACCACGUUGUAAGAAAUAAAUUCUUUUUAUCUCCUUUGCAAUAUACAUGACUUUGUCUUGUCCCAGUCAUUCACUCCUUUUACAUGCUUUCUUGCUCCUUUCUUUAUUUAAAUAGUCCAAAUUUACUCCAAUUAUUCUCAUUAUGUCUGUCUCUCAAUAUGUCUUUGCCAUCAGUUAGAUGAAGGUAGUUGUGCCUCCUUUGACCUGUGGCUUAACUGUGUUUUCCUCUAUUCUUUGUGUCUCCUCAUAGAGGUGUUACUAGAUUUGGACAGUCACAUUAAAUUGCUUCUUAUCUGACUUUACGGGACUAUAUUUUCAGAAUUUUACCUUUUUUUUUUUUAGGCGAAUGAGAGGUUUUCUCCUUGACUCAAUUUCUUUUCAUCACUGGACAGAGAUAUUCUCAUUCAUCAAUAAACCUUCACUGUUUUUCCUCAUAGGUUUUUUUCAUCAUGAAGUUGUCUGUUGUCUCACCUGGAAAGUAAUGGUGUUCCACCUUGCUCAAUACUGAUAGGAUUUAACUUCAUGUCAAGCAUGUUUAAGAGAAGAGAGCAAUUACAAAACUCAGUGAAAUCCAGAAUAACGUGAAUAAAAGUUUAGCUGUUGAGAUAGUCAAGAACUGAAUUUUUAAAGACAAAAAAGGUGCACAGAAGAAAGAAAAGGAUUCAAAAGGAAAAUGGCACUUCAGGCUGUCAGUCAUGCAAAUGUUUCUAUAGCCAGUCUCCUCCUCUUCAACAAGCUGUUUUCUUGUCAGAUAUCCCUCCUCCUUGUGCACAAAUGAUUAUUUUCCUCUUCAUCGGCUGCUUUACCCACUUUAAAGGUGUGCAACUGGAAGUGACAGGAUAGUGACUCAGCUGGAAGUGGAGACUGAGCGAGUGACCGUGAGUGAGUGAAAUAAACUCACAGGUCUUGUGCCUCUCACACCGCCUCCCACUCUUUUGGUGACACAACACAGCCAAGAAGACAGUGAGUGGCACAGGAGGUCACAGUCUGCCGUCAGUCACCACAUCCCAGGAGCAAGGACGACCUUUCGAGGCCAGCCUUGCUGAUCCAGAGAAGGUAUUAAAAAAAGAACUUUGUGAGCUGAUAAAGCAUCACACAACAGGCUUCUCUAUAUCCUCAGAUAGCUGAUGUUCAUUUCAUUUGAACAUGCUUUCAUCGAGGACAUAAGUCUUUCCUUUUCCAUAUACGUGCUUCUACUCCACAUUGUGGAGGCAAGUAGGGCUAGCUGGCUUGUGGGGUGCUUUUCAGUGCAAAUAAAAACACUGCUCUAUAGCUUUACUGGAUCACCAGCAUCUCUCAAACCUUAGAUAUGGCUUAACUUUCAAGUAGUACCAGAGGGCAUUUAUA